Dinoponera quadriceps is the source of this 499-nucleotide long non-coding RNA. RefSeq lists it as uncharacterized. The record is from RefSeq and is a predicted model, not a curated record. Lineage: Eukaryota; Metazoa; Arthropoda; Insecta; Hymenoptera; Formicidae. The transcript is spliced from 4 exons.
CACCCAUUCGUUUUUUUCUCUCUUUCUCUCUCUCCUCUUUCUCCCGAAAGCAGUUAUGGAUAUAAACUCCUCCCGAAACGAGAAUUAUAUAAGACCGAUGUAACGGAAUAAAGUUUGUCGUGAUCCUCCACGAUCGGGAAAUGCUGCACGCGUCCGCUGCUCCAAGCUAUCGUCAGGCAAAUACACAAGUGGCAACGAAAAUAUUGUAGCGGGAUCCUCGGUGGUAGCAAAAAGUAAUGUCAAGUUGGGACCAAAACAUGCGACUGCUACACGACCACUGGGUACGGUCCAUUUAUCCGCGUGCCAUGGUGUUGGAACGCCAGUAUUCCAAACUCUGAAACGUUAAUUUCUGUAAUCAAGUGAUCGGUAUGUGAAUAGCGGGAGCAAAAACUAUUGAGGAGAAGACAGAAGUAACGCGUGACUGAGUAAAUUACUGGCUGCACCUAAUUCUAUCGUCCAAACCAACACUCCGUAGUAACAAGCAACUGCUAAUUCACGA